This 400-nucleotide ribosomal RNA is filed under the name uncultured bacterium. RNAcentral describes it as "bacterial SSU rRNA". It matches the Rfam family "Bacterial small subunit ribosomal RNA", at positions 355 to 772 of the family's 1533-position model. The record is from RNAcentral.
UGGGGAAUAUUGCACAAUGGAGGAAACUCUGAUGCAGCGACGCCGCGUGAAGGAAGAAGGUUUUCGGAUCGUAAACUUCUAUCAGCAGGGAAGAAAAUGACGGUACCUGACUAAGAAGCCCCGGCUAACUACGUGCCAGCAGCCGCGGUAAUACGUAGGGGGCAAGCGUUAUCCGGAAUUACUGGGUGUAAAGGGAGCGUAGGCGGUAGAGUAAGUUAGAUGUGAAAGCCCAAGGCUCAACCUUGGGACUGCAUUUAAAACUGCUUUACUAGAGUACAGGAGAGGAAAGUGGAAUUCCUAGUGUAGCGGUGAAAUGCGUAGAUAUUAGGAGGAACACCAGUGGCGAAGGCGACUUUCUGGACUGUAACUGACGCUGAGGCUCGAAAGCGUGGGGAGCGAA